RNAcentral lists this ribosomal RNA (262 nucleotides) under uncultured bacterium. RNAcentral's name for it is "partial 16S ribosomal RNA". It matches the Rfam family "Bacterial small subunit ribosomal RNA", at positions 92 to 354 of the family's 1533-position model. The record is from RNAcentral.
UUAGUGGCGGACGGGUGAGUAACGCGUGGAAAACCUGCCGUAUACUGGGGGAUAACACUUAGAAAUAGGUGCUAAUACCGCAUAAGCGCACAGUAUCGCAUGAUACAGUGUGAAAAACUCCGGUGGUACAGGAUGGACCCGCGUCUGAUUAGCUGGUUGGCGGGGUAACGGCCCACCAAGGCGACGAUCAGUAGCCGGCCUGAGAGGGUGAACGGCCACAUUGGGACUGAGACACGGCCCAAACUCCUACGGGAGGCAGCAG